Molecule: ribosomal RNA, 301 nt
Filed under: uncultured bacterium
Lineage: Bacteria
Description: partial 16S ribosomal RNA
Rfam family: Bacterial small subunit ribosomal RNA
Source: RNAcentral
CAGUAGCCGCGGUAAUACGUAGGGUGCAAGCGUUAAUCGGAAUUACUGGGCGUAAAGCGUGCGCAGGCGGUUAUAUAAGACAGAUGUGAAAUCCCCGGGCUCAACCUGGGAACUGCAUUUGUGACUGUAUAGCUAGAGUACGGCAGAGGGGGAUGGAAUUCCGCGUGUAGCAGUGAAAUGCGUAGAUAUGCGGAGGAACACCGAUGGCGAAGGCAAUCCACUGGGCCUGUACUGACGCUCAUGCACGAAAGCGUGGGGAGCAAACAGGAUUAGAGACCCGUGUAGUCCCUGUCUCUUAUAC